RNAcentral lists this long non-coding RNA (1397 nucleotides) under Mus musculus (house mouse). Its description in RNAcentral is "RIKEN cDNA A330009N23 gene (A330009N23Rik)". Lineage: Eukaryota; Metazoa; Chordata; Mammalia; Rodentia; Muridae. The record is from RNAcentral.
GACCGCUAUGGGGAGCCCCGCCCACAGUGCGCAGCCAUCAGCCAGGCUCUGGGACACUCUGGGGGACUUGGGCGCUCAGUGGGGGAAAUCUAGCUGCCCACGGCAGCGGGAGGGACAGGACAUUUGGGGAGAGCAGGGGUUUAUAUGCUACCUGGAAGCAGUCUGUGAACGUACAUUGGAUGAAGUUAGGGAAUGAAUGAUGGCCUUAGUGGUUCGUGGAGAUGGGGGCACAAUAAGGAGUGGUGGGCUAGGAGAAAGGGAAGCUGUGGAAACCUGCAAGCAGGUUUAAAUCCGAGCCCUACUGGGGCCACCCCAAGGCUUGAAAUCACCUCUCCACUCUGGAUGCUGGAGUUAAGGCUCUCGUUCCUCACCUGGGGUUUGGAAUAUGCCCAGAGUAGGAUUUCAGAGCUGGAAGAGGCCUCAUGUUCUGGAAAAGACGUGUGUGGUCCAAGCCCUCCUGCCUGAGACAGCAGUCAGAGAGGGAAAGACUGCCCCGGAAUGGAUUUAGGAACCCAGGACUCUUGACAAAGACUGCUAAUUCAGCAGCUGGCAGCUGGGGAGCGGACUGCCUGAUUCCUCUGCGGUUCCACAGUUUCUCCAGGGAGGAUUGGAGAGUCCUGGGUGCCUCCCUGUGGGAUGGUGGCACCCUCUGCUGGUCGUGAGCCUUGUGGUGGAACUAUCUCCAGACUCAAAGCCGUCUGGUGCUCGGCGCCACCUGGAAACCUUGCCAUAUUUUGGGAUCCCAUACAGCAUUUGUUCCUCCAGGAGGAUCUGUAGUGAGCUGGUAACUGAGUUCACACUGAGGAAGUUGUGAGGAGGGAGAUGCUGCCGGUUAAAAGUACUCCACAGCACGGCUCCAGAGCUCAGCCUUCUCUGCCCCACCUCCUCUUAUGCCACGCCCCUUGCCUAGCAUCUGUUCCCCUCCUCCAAUUAGCCUUACCCAGGCCUCCUGCCUCUCCAGAAUGUCCCUUACCUCCUCAUGCCUCUUAGCAAAUCCCCUGUGGAUCUGCUCCUGAGAAAUCUAUACUUCGUCUGCAACUUAUGUCGAAGCAGGUGUCUUGUUCCCAGGGAGUUCAUGUUUCCCAGUUCUUUGGCUCCAGCUGCUCCAUCCUAAGAUGGGGUUUAAGGGUGGGGGGAGGGGAGACCUGGGUAGCAUGGGAUUAGUAGAGGCUGUCUAACGGACAAAGCCCCUUCUCACUUCUUUAAGGACAACCCCUUGCCAAGUCUCCCACCAAUCCACAAUUCCCUGUGACCCCACAGACCUGCUUAAGUUCUGGGGAACCCUCGGAAAGUUGGAGCACUAGAGCUGCGAAAGUUCAGACGCUGUAGAGUCCCAGUGAGUCAGUUACUUCAGGGCACAGAACUAGCAAGGAUGAAUAAAUAGCUCUAUGGAUGCC